AGAAAAAAAAAUAAAAAAAACAAAACUUCUCACUUUGAAAGAUUCAGGUUUCAUGCUAGUAAGGUUAUAUAUUGGCCUACCUAGCUAAACUAUAUUAGCCUAUAUGAAGUGGGAAUAUGUUGAUUUAAAGAGAUUCUGAAAAAUUGCAUGAGAUAUUAGAGAUCUAUGGCACAUGGAAGCUGUUUUGGAGUAAGGACCCAAGAUGUGCAAGUGAUUGUGAUCUUCCAUUGGUAGUUGGUUGAUGUAUUUAUGUAACACAUCUUGACAUUUAAUUUUCCUAGGAAUAUUAUUGCCUCCUUCUUUCAACCUUUUCCCACAUAAGAAAAUAUACGCUGAUGUCUUGGAUUAACAUGUUCUGUGUCCUCCAUUAGGCUAUUUGAAAGAAAAACAAUAAAUGAAGGAACAACCGUAAUAGUUUUAUAUAAUUAUCUUCAAUGAUAUAUUAGAUAGUUUUACGUUUCAAAAUAACAAUUGUAUUUCAUCA
Molecule: long non-coding RNA, 484 nt
Filed under: Cicer arietinum (chickpea)
Lineage: Eukaryota; Viridiplantae; Streptophyta; Magnoliopsida; Fabales; Fabaceae
Description: long non-coding RNA (CARI_LNC000948)
Source: RNAcentral